RNAcentral lists this long non-coding RNA (213 nucleotides) under Phoenix dactylifera (date palm). Its description in RNAcentral is "long non-coding RNA (PDAC_LNC021752)". The record is from RNAcentral. Lineage: Eukaryota; Viridiplantae; Streptophyta; Magnoliopsida; Arecales; Arecaceae.
GCAUUACAAAAUAUUGAGAAUCCAUAAUUCAAGACAUCAUGCCACAUGCAAAAUAUAUUAUGUGUUAAGUCAUGCAUUAAAAUAAUAAGAACAAGCAUGUCAAGGAUCAAAAUCAAUUCUUUUCAAAUAAACUCCCCCUAUUUAAAUAUAAUCUUGCAUUGAUUUCAUCCUUAAAUUGUGUUUUCAAGUGAUUUUAAAAAAAAUGACUUGAUU